RNAcentral lists this ribosomal RNA (1230 nucleotides) under uncultured bacterium. RNAcentral describes it as "bacterial SSU rRNA". It matches the Rfam family "Bacterial small subunit ribosomal RNA", at positions 104 to 1367 of the family's 1533-position model. The record is from RNAcentral.
GGGUGAGUAACGCGUGGAAAUCUGCCUUAGACUGGGGGAUAACCUGGGGAAACUCGGGCUAAUACCGCAUAUUACCGAGAGGUGAAAGAUUUAUCGGUCUAAGAUGAGUCUGCGUAUGAUUAGCUAGUUGGUAGGGUAAAAGCCUACCAAGGCAAUGAUCAUUAGCUGGUUUGAGAGGAUGACCAGCCACAAUGGAACUGAUACACGGUCCAUACUUCUACGGAAGGCAGCAGUAGGGAAUUUUGCGCAAUGGACGAAAGUCUGACGCAGCAAUGCCGCGUGUAGGAAGAAGCAUUUUGGUGUGUAAACUACUGUCAGUGGGGAAUAAAAAAAUGAAUGUACCCAAAGAGGAAGCACCGGCUAACUACGUGCCAGCAGCCGCGGUAAGACGUAGGGUGCAAGCGUUGUCCGGAUUUAUUGGGCGUAAAGAGCUCGUAGGCGGUAUUUUAAGUCUGAUGUUAAAUCAUGGAGCUCAACUUCAUCAUGGCAUCAGAAACUGAAGUACUAGAGUUAAGUAGGGGUCAGAGGAAUUCCUGGUGUAGCGGUGAAAUUCGUAGAUAUUGGGAGGAACACCAGUGGCGUAAGCGGCCAACUAGACGAUUACUGACGCUCAUGCACGAAAGUGUGGGGAUCAAACAGGAUUAGAUACCCUGGUAGUCCACACCGUAGACGAUGUGUGCUAGCUUCUGGGCAGCUUGCUGCUCGGUGGCGCAGCUAACGCACUAAGCACACCGCCUGGGGAGUACGGUCGCAAGAUUAAAACUCAAAGGAAUUGACGGGGACCCGCACAAGCGGUGGAGCAUGUGGUUUAAUUCGACGCAACGCGAAGAACCUUACCAGGCCUUGACAUCCCGAUUGAGGAGAGCAGAGACGCUUUCCGUCAUUUAGUUGGAUCGGUGACAGGUGCUGCAUGGCUGUCGUCAGCUCGUGUCGUGAGAUGUUGGGUUAAGUCCCGCAACGAGCGCAACCCUUAUCUCCUGUUGCCAGCAUUUAGUUGGGCACUCAGGCGAAACUGCCGGUGAUAAGCCGGAGGAAGGUGGGGACGACGUCAAGUCAUCAUGGCCCUUACGGCCUGGGCUACACACGUGCUACAAUGGUAAUCACAAUGGGCUGCUACCCUGCGAAGGGAUGCAAAUCUCCAAAGAUUAUCUCAAUUCGGAUUGUUCUCUGCAACUCGAGAGCAUGAAGCCGGAAUCGCUAGUAAUCGUGGAUCAGCAUGCCACGGUGAAU